GGGAACUCCAACACAAAGAUAUGGACGUGUCAAAAGUACCCUGAGUUCCUUCCAGAAAAGGAUGGUACGGCCGUGCUUGCACGACUUGGCGGGGACACUGCCGUGCCCCCAGAUUAUGAUACAAAUAUCGAGUGAUUAUCGGUACGACCGGGAACAUGGGAAGAGUAGCAAUUAUCGCCACUCAAUGUCUACAUUCGUUGAGUGGCAAGACAAAAGUGAAGUCCAAACUGGAGACACAGAGCACAGAUUAAGACACACUCUUCUAGUGGCUUGAGGAAGUUCCGGUCUAAAAUUGAACUUUAUCCUUGUUGUCAGCUAUCUGCCGCAGUUUCAAUAAGAUUUGUGCAGUUGCAAUCUGUACUACCAGUUUUUAUAAAUUGAAAAGGGAUGGAGAGGA
This 397-nucleotide long non-coding RNA is filed under the name Androctonus crassicauda. The record is from RNAcentral. Lineage: Eukaryota; Metazoa; Arthropoda; Arachnida; Scorpiones; Buthidae.